RNAcentral lists this ribosomal RNA (36 nucleotides) under Polyblastidium hypoleucum. Its description in RNAcentral is "Heterodermia hypoleuca partial 18S ribosomal RNA". Lineage: Eukaryota; Fungi; Ascomycota; Lecanoromycetes; Caliciales; Physciaceae. The record is from RNAcentral.
AAUACUGCUCAGUAGGUGACCUGCGGAAGGACAUUA